Long non-coding RNA from Rattus rattus (black rat), 2044 nucleotides. RefSeq lists it as uncharacterized. The record is from RefSeq and is a predicted model, not a curated record. The transcript is spliced from 3 exons. NCBI's taxonomy places the organism in Eukaryota, Metazoa, Chordata, Mammalia, Rodentia, Muridae.
AUAACUUUUAAAAGGAAAGACGGCAUCCGUGUAAGCAGCCAGUAAAUGUGCAAAUCUCUAGUUGGGCUUUAGCUGCUCUGAGGAGUUUCCCAGUGGAGCUAGGAUGGGAUUUCCACACAUGCACCUAGCCCCUUUCCCAGGGCUCGAGACAUCACUCUGGUCGGAAAACCGGGCAAACGAAACAGGCAACCAUCGGAGAACUCUGAAUUAACCGCAGCUCCCAGAAGCUCCUGCCCCUCUGACAGCUGUCGCUUCGGCAGCCCAAGAGACGAAUUGUCCUCCUUCCUGGUGCCAGAGGACGCAGGAAAUUAGCCAGGUUGCAAGUUGCAAAGCGGCGGCGGCUGCUCCAGGAACUGGACGCGCCCCACCUCCAGCGACAGCGGCCGGCCUGGGCCUGGCUGCGGCUUCCCCUCGCUCGCCAUCGCCGGACAAAGCACAGCCCAGGCAGGCUGGGAAGGCAGAGCUCCGAAGCAAGCAGGAUGGAGCGGAGCAAAAGAAUGCGGCUCUAUUCUCGCAAGGGAAAUUAUAAAAAAGUUCAUGUUCACGGUUCCUAUCCACAUGACCGACAGCGGCCAAUGGAAGGGCCGAACAACUCAUAAAGUUGUAUUGCAAAGUUGUAAAUUUUCAUAAACAACAACGGAUUUAUGACCCUUUCCCCAUCACUAAGAGGAGGCAGCUCUUACACAGGCGCCAUCUUACCACCGAGGCUGUCCCGAUUUGGGGCUGCAGGUUUUACAGACCCUUUUAGGUCCGAUUUUAUUAAAAGAAUCCAAAGAAGCUGGCCCAACCCAGCCAGGGGAUAAGAAUGGAGACCUUCGCGAGCCAAGCCCAGGAUACUCUAAGCUACUUCCACCGCCUCCCACCCCUGGUCCCUCGCCGCUAGCCCCUUCCCCAGCCACAGUCCUUCCUCCGCAACAGGACUUGACUAGGUUGCGCUGCCAGGUCUGAGGCCCAUGGCGGUCCAAGAAUCUCCCAGCCGCAGUGUUGGACCCUGGGGCAUCCUCACAUCUACUGAAGGCUAAGUGGGGGUACUGCGGCAGGGACCCUGAAUCCCAUUUCCUUCCUACCCUAGGGCUGUACUCAAGGCGCAUGCGGAAUCCGGAAUCAUUUGGAGGGUAGGUAGUACCCUUUUAGAGCUCAGCCUACACCUUUAGAGGAAAGUCGAAUUGGAAUUCGUUCAUGGAAUUUAUGGAAGUUUGAGAGGCUGUAGAUGGAACAUACCGCAUUAACAAAUAGUCUGUUUUCAACGGAUCCAGAUCAGAUAGACAUUGGUGCACAUACAACGGCCAGACAAAAACCAUCUACAAAGAGGAAGGCACGUAUACAGCUAUAGUCACAGAAAAACACAGAAACCUACCAUUAUAGACAUGGUAGAUGUUCGCACACACAUGAUGGAAAUGCAUACAAUUAUAAAAACUGUAAGCAACCGCACAGAGAAAUAGAAACGUGCUUAUGUACAUGUAAAACACGUAAAAAGAGACGUGAUACAUUUGUCCACGGAUAUCUAGAAUGUUGGCUCCAGGACAGUCUCUCUGCAUUUGCUUCCCAUUUCUUUGGCCUAUGGCCAGGGCCUGUGCUUCAGUUAUGGCCACUUCCCCUUGCCCCAGACCCCGUGGAUAAAGCAGUCCAUGUUUCUUUGUCACCAAGCAUCUUUAUUGUAACAUAAAACACAGGUAACUGGGCAGGGAAGCAUGCCUUCCCUAGACCUCAGUCUAGGUGUAGGGGGGACAUGGGGAGACAGGGGAGAUGAUGGGCCCAGGGUGGGUGCUGGACCUCCCCCACCCACUACAGAAUUAGUUCAAUACAACACACCAUGCUACAAAGUCACCCCAUUAAAACAUCCUUCCCAAGUCAAGACAUUCCUUUACAAAUGAGCUUCAAGAUUAUAGAAAUGACAACAACAACAACAAAAAAUUCUGGUUCAAAUAUACAGUAUUUGUCCUCGUAGGAAAAGUCAGAGUAUACAUAUUUGACAUGGCGGAACAGUAGGACACAGAAGCAAGGGAGAAGAGGACAGCAAGGCUGGGAACAUCAACUUAGUCCC